Molecule: non-coding RNA, 74 nt
Organism: Phrynosoma platyrhinos (Desert horned lizard)
Lineage: Eukaryota; Metazoa; Chordata; Lepidosauria; Squamata; Phrynosomatidae
Source: the annotation of a GenBank genome assembly
GGCUAGCAAGGCUCAGUGGUUUGAGUGUCAGACUACGACACUCGGAGACCAGGGUUCGAAUCCCAGUUCGGCCA